RNAcentral lists this ribosomal RNA (296 nucleotides) under uncultured bacterium. RNAcentral describes it as "partial 16S ribosomal RNA". It matches the Rfam family "Bacterial small subunit ribosomal RNA", at positions 789 to 1084 of the family's 1533-position model. The record is from RNAcentral.
GUUAGUCCUAGCAGUAAACGAUGGCUACUAGGUGUGGGGGGUGUUGACCCCUCCUGUGCCGAAGCUAACGCAUUAAGUAGCCCGCCUGGGGAGUACGGUCGCAAGACUAAAACUCAAAGGAAUUGACGGGGACCCGCACAAGCAGCGGAGCGUGUGGUUUAAUUCGAUGCAACGCGAAGAACCUUACCUGGGCUUGACAUACACUCGCAACACCUCGAAAGGGGUGCCUCCUUCGGGACGGGUGUACAGAUGCUGCAUGGCUGUCGUCAGCUCGUGUCGUGAGAUGUUGGGUUAAG